This 30-nucleotide non-coding RNA is filed under the name Mus musculus (house mouse). Lineage: Eukaryota; Metazoa; Chordata; Mammalia; Rodentia; Muridae. The record is from RNAcentral.
UGGAAGCUGCUCNCUUUUUCAUCUCCAUGG